RNAcentral lists this ribosomal RNA (253 nucleotides) under uncultured bacterium. RNAcentral's name for it is "partial 16S ribosomal RNA". It matches the Rfam family "Bacterial small subunit ribosomal RNA", at positions 524 to 776 of the family's 1533-position model. The record is from RNAcentral.
UACGUAGGGUGCGAGCGUUGUCCGGAAUCAUUGGGCGUAAAGAGCGUGUAGGCGGCCCGGUAAGUCCGCUGUGAAAGUCGGGGGCUCAACCCUCGAAUGCCGGUGGAUACUGUCGGGCUAGAGUGCGGAAGAGGCGAGUGGAAUUCCUGGUGUAGCGGUGAAAUGCGCAGAUAUCAGGAGGAACACCAAUUGCGAAGGCAGCUCGCUGGGACGUAACUGACGCUGAGACGCGAAAGCGUGGGGAGCAAACAGG